UACCCUGGGUAGUCCACGCCGUAAAACGAUGGAUACUUGGUGUGGGAGGUAUUGACCCCUUCCGUGCCGCAGUUAACACAAUAAGUAUCCCACCUGGGGAGUACGGCCGCAAGGUUGAAACUCAAAGGAAUUGACGGGGGCCCGCACAAGCAGUGGAGUAUGUGGUUUAAUUCGAAGCAACGCGAAGAACCUUACCAGGUCUUGACAUCCCGAUGACCGCCCUAGAGAUAGGGUUUCCCUUCGGGGCAUCGGAGACAGGUGGUGCAUGGUUGUCGUCAGCUCGUGUCGUGAGAUGUUGGGUUAAGUCCCGCAACGAGCGCAACCCUUACGGUUAGUUGAUACAUUAGGUUGAUCACUCUAGCCGGACUGCCGUUGACAAAACGGAGGAAGGUGGGGACGACGUCAAAUCAUCAUGCCCCUUAUGACCUGGCUACACACGUACUACAAUGGCAGUCAUACAGAGGGAAGCAAAGCAGCGAUGCGGAGCAAACCCCUAAAAGCUGUCUCAGUUCAGAUUGCA
RNAcentral lists this ribosomal RNA (520 nucleotides) under uncultured bacterium. RNAcentral describes it as "bacterial SSU rRNA". It matches the Rfam family "Bacterial small subunit ribosomal RNA", at positions 783 to 1302 of the family's 1533-position model. The record is from RNAcentral.